AUUGAACGCUGGCGGCAGGCCUAACACAUGCAAGUCGAGCGGAUGAAGGGAGCUUGCUCCUGGAUUCAGCGGCGGACGGGUGAGUAAUGCCUAGGAAUCUGCCUGGUAGUGGGGGAUAACGUCCGGACACGGGCGCUAAUACCGCAUACGUCCUGAGGGAGAAAGUGGGGGAUCUUCGGACCUCACGCUAUCAGAUGAGCCUAGGUCGGAUUAGCUAGUUGGUGGGGUAAAGGCCUACCAAGGCGACGAUCCGUAACUGGUCUGAGAGGAUGAUCAGUCACACUGGAACUGAGACACGGUCCAGACUCCUACGGGAGGCAGCAGUGGGGAAUAUUGGACAAUGGGCGAAAGCCUGAUCCAGCCAUGCCGCGUGUGUGAAGAAGGUCUUCGGAUUGUAAAGCACUUUAAGUUGGGAGGAAGGGCAGUAAGUUAAUACCUUGCUGUCUUGACGUUACCAACAGAAUAAGCCCCGGCUAACUUCGUG
This 484-nucleotide ribosomal RNA is filed under the name uncultured bacterium. RNAcentral's name for it is "partial 16S ribosomal RNA". It matches the Rfam family "Bacterial small subunit ribosomal RNA", at positions 30 to 507 of the family's 1533-position model. The record is from RNAcentral.